RNAcentral lists this ribosomal RNA (490 nucleotides) under uncultured bacterium. RNAcentral's name for it is "partial 16S ribosomal RNA". It matches the Rfam family "Bacterial small subunit ribosomal RNA", at positions 29 to 507 of the family's 1533-position model. The record is from RNAcentral.
AUUGAACGCUGGCGGCAGGCCUAACACAUGCAAGUCGAGCGGCAGCGGAAAGUAGCCCGCUACUUUGCCGGCGAGCGGCGGACGGGUGAGUGAUGUCUGGGAAACUGCCCGAUGGAGGGGGGGAACAACUGGAAGCGGUAGCUAAUACAGCAUAACGUCGCAAGACCAAAGAGGGGGACCUCCUGGGCUCUUGCCAUCAGAUAUGCCCAGAUGGGAUUAGCUAGUAGGGGGGGUAACGGCGCACCUAGGCGACGAUCCCUAGCUGGUCUGAGAGGAUGAUCAGCCACACUGGAACUGAGACACGGUCCAGACUCCUACGGGAGGCAGCAGUGGGGAAUAUUGCACAAUGGGCGCAAGCCUGAUGCAGCCAUGCCGCGUGUAUGAAGAAGGCCUUCGGGUUGUAAAGUACUUUCAGCGGGGAGGAAGGUGUUGAGGUUAAUAACCUCAGCAAUUGACGUUACCCGCAGAAGAAGCACCGGCUAACUCCGUG